GACAUCCAGAGAAUUUAGCAGAGAUGCUUUAGUGCCUUCGGGAACUCUGAGACAGGUGCUGCAUGGCUGUCGUCAGCUCGUGUUGUGAAAUGUUGGGUUAAGUCCCGCAACGAGCGCAACCCUUAUCCUUUGUUGCCAGCACGUAAUGGUGGGAACUCAAAGGAGACUGCCGGUGAUAAACCGGAGGAAGGUGGGGAUGACGUCAAGUCAUCAUGGCCCUUACGAGUAGGGCUACACACGUGCUACAAUGGCGCAUACAAAGAGAAGCGACCUCGCGAGAGCAAGCGGACCUCAUAAAGUGCGUCGUAGUCCGGAUUGGAGUCUGCAACUCGACUCCAUGAAGUCGGAAUCGCUAGUAAUCGUAAAUCAGAAUGUUACGGUGAAUACGUUCCCGGGCCUUGUACACACCGCCCGUCACACCAUGGGAGUGGGUUGCAAAAGAAGUAGAUAGCUUAACCUUCGGGAGGGCGUUUACCACUUUGUGAUUCAUGACUGGGGUGAAGUCGUAACAAGGUAAGCGUAGUGCU
RNAcentral lists this ribosomal RNA (527 nucleotides) under uncultured bacterium. RNAcentral's name for it is "bacterial SSU rRNA". It matches the Rfam family "Bacterial small subunit ribosomal RNA", at positions 983 to 1509 of the family's 1533-position model. The record is from RNAcentral.